UACGUAGGGUGCGAGCGUUGUCCGGAAUUACUGGGCGUAAAGAGCUCGUAGGUGGUUUGUCGCGUUGUUCGUGAAAACCGGGGGCUUAACCCUCGGCGUGCGGGCGAUACGGGCAGACUUGAGUACUGCAGGGGAGACUGGAAUUCCUGGUGUAGCGGUGGAAUGCGCAGAUAUCGGGAGGAACACCAGUGGCGAAGGCGGCUUCCUGGCCUGUUCUUGACGCUGAGGCGCGAAAGCUAGGGGAGCAAACGGG
Molecule: ribosomal RNA, 253 nt
Filed under: uncultured bacterium
Lineage: Bacteria
Description: partial 16S ribosomal RNA
Rfam family: Bacterial small subunit ribosomal RNA
Source: RNAcentral